UCCCUGGUGGCUUAGUGGUAAAGCAUCCAUCUGCCACAUCAGGACACACAGGUUCGACCCCUGAUCUGGGAA
Molecule: transfer RNA, 72 nt
Filed under: Bos taurus (domestic cattle)
Lineage: Eukaryota; Metazoa; Chordata; Mammalia; Artiodactyla; Bovidae
Also listed under: 2 other names
Rfam family: tRNA
About the family: Transfer RNA (tRNA) molecules are approximately 80 nucleotides in length. Their secondary structure includes four short double-helical elements and three loops (D, anti-codon, and T loops).
Source: Rfam by way of RNAcentral